Molecule: ribosomal RNA, 500 nt
Filed under: uncultured bacterium
Lineage: Bacteria
Description: partial 16S ribosomal RNA
Rfam family: Bacterial small subunit ribosomal RNA
Source: RNAcentral
AUUGAACGCUGGCGGCAUGCCUUACACAUGCAAGUCGAACGGCAGCACGGGAGCAAUCCUGGUGGCGAGUGGCGAACGGGUGAGUAAUGUAUCGGAACGUGCCCAGUCGUGGGGGAUAACGCAGCGAAAGCUGUGCUAAUACCGCAUACGAUCUAUGGAUGAAAGCGGGGGAUCGCAAGACCUCGCGCGAUUGGAGCGGCCGAUAUCAGAUUAGGUAGUUGGUGGGGUAAAGGCCCAACAAGCCGACGAUCUGUAGCUGGUCUGAGAGGACGACCAGCCACACUGGAACUGAGACACGGUCCAGACUCCUACGGGAGGCAGCAGUGGGGAAUUUAGGACAAUGGGCGCAAGCCUGAUCCAGCAAUGCCGCGUGCAGGAUGAAGGCCUUCGGGUUGUAAACUGCUUUUGUACGGAACGAAACGGUUCUCUCUAAUACAGGGGGCUAAUGACGGUACCGUAAGAAUAAGCACCGGCUAACUACGUGCCAGCCGCCGCCGUAA